ACAAUUAGAAUGUAAUACUUUGAUGACCUCUGUUGCGUCCGUUUCCACCACUAGUGGAGAAUAAUUGUGGCUGAAGGCGAUUGAAAGUCCUUCUUUUAGAGUUUCCAAUUUAGCUUGGAGAGGGGAGCUUGGGGGGUUGGAGUGCUGAAAACCCAUUGUCCAGUCCCCUCUAUGAUCUCUUAAAACACCACCCAUGCCUCCCGUAUUUUAUUUUUUUUGAAAGGUUCCAUCUAUAUUUAGUUUGAAAAAAUUUUGAGAAGGUUUGUGCUAUGCUAUCUUGAUAGUAUGGGAUUGAGCCGAUAAAAGUUCAUUUGUAGCGAGAAGAUUAUACUCUAAAUCUAGAGAAAUAGCAUGUGACAGAUUAAAGUUGAGGGCCAACUUAUUGUGGUUAUUGUUGUUUCUAUUUAUCCAAGUGCACCACAUGACGAAAGGGAAAAGCUUCUCCCAUGAAAGGUAAGUGAAGGGGGUAGAGGAUCUUAGGUUUCUAAUACUAUGAAUCCAUUAAGUGUUAUUGACUGCCAAUCUUUUUUUAUAUUUUUAAAUACUUUUGAAAUAACAUAUAUAUGCUUAUAUAAGCAUGUCUAAGCAUUGUAUUAUUUUUUCCAUAAUUAUUAAAGUUUUUAAACUGAUUUAUUUCCCCUUUUUCUUCCAUAAAAUCCUAAUAAUUAUCUCGUGAAUAUUAUUUUUUAUUAUUCAUCUACUGUAUUUUCAUAUUAAAGCUAAAAUAUGGCUAAGGAAAUAUUUAUAUAUUUUUUACUAUUUUAUUUAUAAAUUUUAAAGCCAAUUGCAUAAAAUUACAAUAUUAUCCAUUUUAAGGUCUAAUUGUGUACUAUGUUCAUAAAAUUGAGUCUUAUAUUUUUAAAUUGAAAUUUAUGUGUUAUAAAUCAUUUCGGCCUUUUAAAUCAAUUUUCAGACACUAUUUGCUGUUUUUUAUAAAAUAAAAAGAGAAAAUGGCUAUUUAACUCGUAUCCACAUUUGGCUUUGAAUUAUAAACUAAAUCAAGCCCCAGUUCUUCAUCCCAAUAUAUAAUUUUUACCCGACCCUAACCCUUUUAAAACAACCCAAACCCGGAUUCCCCACAUACCCUUUUAAUCUAGGCCGUUGAUCACUCAAAUCAACGACCACCACUCACCCUUCCAUAAUUAAACCCAAAUGACCCCUUAGCCUAUCUCAUUUCUCACAAUCCACCGCCCUUGAGAUCCUCUCAUCUCAAUUCUCUCAGCAGCCUCACAAAAACCCUAGCCGCCACCACCUAAUUCCUCCUUGAUUCCUUUUAAUAGCUACCUAAUCUAUGGACUCCCAUGUAGUUUUGCGAUGUGUACUCGCCUCCUAUUUCUACUGGUAACCUAUUUUUGUGAUUCAAUGGACAUAUCUCGAAGAGAUCUAGUCUAGUCUUGGUUCAACUUCGAUCUUAGCUCUUUUUCCGGUCAUCCAUGGUUGUUCAAGUCGGAUCGUUGACUUUUCCAGCUAGAUUGGUAAAUUUUUAAAUUCUUUCUCACUUUCUCUGGGUUCUUUGAAACCCUAGCAUUAACAGCUUUUUAAUUUUUCUUUCAGAUCUAUCUUAGAUAUGUACUUGUUUGAGCUUCUUAGUGUUUCUCAAAGGUUCUCUGACUUUCUUCAAAAGUAACUCUUCAUUUUCAAAUUAGGGUUUCCUAAACUUUUCUCCGAUUUUUAGUGUGUUUUCAUGAUUUUACUAUGUCUGUUCAUGUUUGCUGCUACAUGUUUCAUCGUGCUGAAAUCCCUAAGUGUUUUGGCUCUACCUGGGUUUCUACAACUCUCUUGGUAUAUUUUAUACGCAUGUUUGGUUUGAUUAUGUUCUUUGUGUUUGAACUUUUUAUCUUGUUCGACUUAUCUGAUUCUGAGUUCUUUUCCACUCAGCUCUGUUGUUAAAAACCCUAAUUUCUUAAAAUGUUUUUUAUUAUUUAUUGUUAUGACCUUGAAGACUUUACUUGUCUCUUUGUAUUGAUCUCCUUUCUAUUACUAUAUUUUCUUCACUUUUGAUUAUAUGUGACUACUUGACCUUGUUGCCUAUUUGCUUCGAGUAGGUUUCCUUACUACUAAAUCCUAGCCUACUCCUGCUACUACUAUAUGUUUUUGUUGCUUCUUUGUCAACAUGAUUUACCAUACAUGCCUAGUAUGCAUGUCCCUGCCUUGCUAUUAUACGUACAAAAUCAUGAGUCUUUCGUGGUUGAUCCCGAUUUCCUCGAAGAUGCAAUUGAUUGCAAAAUUUUUCCCAUGAACCCCAAUUUUACUCGUUUGUUUAAAUUUAUUGAUUCCCUUCAUUUAAUUACUGUGAUAUUUACCUUAAAUACUUUCCCAAAAUUAAGCAUAUUUUGUAUUUAGACUCAAUUAUUUACCUCGUACUUUUACUGCCUCCUUAUAUGGCAAGAAUCAAUCUAUCUCAAACUGAUUUCUCUCCUUAAUUAACCCUGUUAGUAUUUGUUUGAGAAUUAAUACCUUGAUUAAAGUUAAGUACUUGUGCUAGUUGAUGUUGAUUAUGAUUAUUUCCAUGUUUGUGUUAGGGAUUUACUUAUUACCUUAUUUUUCACUCGUAUUCAAAAGUAUAAAUACCAUACCAUCUUUUCUUUAAACACAUGAACAAUUGAGUUCAGAACACAUACUUACACACUCAAAACUUUUUCUUUCUCUAUUACUACUUGUGCUACUACAUAGUUUAGUCAGCUGAAAGCUAAGGCUAAACUGUAGAAUCCUGCUUAUUUUUCUUUUAUGCACUUUGUUGCUUAGACUGGUAUCUCCUAGUUUAAUUUUAUAUGUCCCAACAACAAUAUGAUGCUUUCUUUGUUUAAGUUCCUUUCACUUUUGGUCUAUUCCUACUUGUGGUUCUGUUAAAACACAUUAUCAACAUGUAAUAAUAUCCUCGUCCCUUCAAGAUCAAUGCAUUCACUUAUGUUUAUAACUUAUUGUGUACUCGCUAUCCUAUGAAUUCCAAACCCCUAUCCCCUCCAAUGUGUUGUGUUCUUCUGGCUGGAUUGUGAUCAUGCUAGUAUCGAUUAUUGGUGUGCAUGUCCAAACCAGGCCAGUGUUGGGUCGUGUGCUUACAGAUAAGUGUAUCCCCAAAAUCCCCUGAUCCCCUUCAAAUGACUACUGAUUCUGCGUAGUUUUGAGUUUUACUCCUACAACUGGUUUCAAUAUCCUCUAUUACUAAUUGCUAUUAAAAUGGACUAUCAGUCCAGCUUUUCAAAUAAAUCUCUUUCAACAUGUGUUUUGCACUUCCACUAUAUUUUUAGAAUCUAUUUUCUGCCCUUCUUGUGUGAGCAUUGCCAUAGGUCCCUUGAGCUCUUUCUGAACUUGGAAACAUAAGAGUUGGCUCUUUCACAUUUCACUCAUUCUGUUUAGUUAUGCAAAUCUGGGUGUGAGCACCCCACCGGGACCCGUUGUGGUCCUUAGAGAACUCUGACACACCCAGAUAUGAGAAAGGCUUUGGAAUAAUAUUGGCACUGAUAUGGUUCAUUGUAUAUCUCAGAGAAGAAGUCAAGAUCAGGUUUCGUAUGGCUGUAACUUCUUAUUUUAAGUCAAUCAUUUGGUUUUUAAUAUGUUAUUAACAAGUACGGGGUUGGCUAGUGAAAAUGGGUUGAAAAUAUGCAAGUUUUAGCUAUUAAAAGGUAGAAAACAUGUUACUAGGUUUUCAUUCCUAUUUUCACAAUAGAAUCCAUGCUUAGGACUCAUUUGAUGCAUUAGAAAUCAUAUUCCUUAGGAUUUACACUUAUUAUUUUCAGCACGCCCAUUAUUACUAUCACAUCAUUUGGAAAUUUCUGCGUUAAAUGUGUUAAUAACCAAUGUCUCUGCAAUCAUGUUCCUAUUGCCAUGCACACUUAGAGAUCAUGUUUUAGGCUAAACAACACUAACAAAUAUAUCAUCUCUGCAUAUCCUAAUAAUUAUUUUCUAAGCAUUGUAAUACUUGUGCAUAUAGAAAUCCUGUUUUGGGUUCUACAUAAAUAUUUCUCUGCAUCUAUGCAUAUUAGAUAUCAUGUCUUUAGGAUUUCAUUUAUAUUCACUUAAGCACAUUUAGGCUAAAUUUGAGUGCAUAAAAAAGGAAUAAAACAGUUUUACUUAAUCGUUGCAAUUAACUAGAAAUAAUUAUGUGUGUUGAACACCUAGAACAACAUAUCUAAGUAAUAAUAAUAACCUGCAAAUAUCUUAAUUAUCCUUAAUAACUACUAAAUAUUGUUCAUACCUAGGGAAAACUUAGGUAAUUAUUUAAAUAAAUUGAAACCGUAUUUGUUUAAUUAUCAUCUGCUACAACCAGCUAGCAGGCCUGAUUGGGACUUCUUUUCUGAGUUAUAUAAUAAAUCCAGUUUUGACUCAAGCACCCUGCUUUAGGAUUUUUAAAAUCCAAACCUUAAAUAUGUUUUAAGUCAUGCUGGUGAUAUGAAUUAUUUGCAGAAGUAUGCAUGAGCCUUCUAAUUGCUUACUUGUUUCUCUUCUAAACACAGUCCUAUUUGUAUGUCACCUUAUUAUUUUACCUUUAAACCUAAGAGCCAGCCUAAAACCUUCCCCUUUAUAUGCAUUGUAGUCUCAAAUUCCUUUGGGACUGAUAGGAAUGGGAAGAGUAACAACAUGCAAUAGAGAUCGAGACCAAUUCUCACUUUCAAUACCAUCAUAGAGUGAGGAGAAUAGAUAUGGAUAUGAUGACCUGUGCAAUAAUACCAUGUGCAUCCCCUCUUUUGAGGAGUGCCAGUAUUACAUUGAUUUGAUCCGUAUUACAAACAAACCUAGGACCCCUUUAUACACUCACAAGCAUGCUUAGAUCGAAACUCUUUUCAAAACCUUGCUUUUUAUUGUUUUAAACAAACACUGGUGUAUUUAAAUUCAAAAUCCCCUAUUACUUGAGCCUUGUUUCUGCUAAUUGCACAAAUUCACAAAACAAUCUGGCCAGGAACCAUACUAGUGGAUCCUAAGGGGUGCCUAACACAUUUCCCUUGGGAUAAUUUCAAGCUCUUACCGUAUCUCUGGUUGCCAAACAUAGUUAUAGUUGAACCGCAUAGGUGCCCUAACGCACCUUAAAAUCGUUAGGUGGCGACUCUUUAAAAAUUGCAUAACCCCUUUCCCAAAAGGAAAGAGUUGUCCAAACAAAAUGUUAUAAACCCGAUUUCGUGAGAAAAAGGGAGCGACAACAUGAUUACUCUGCUGGGGACUUUUUCAUCUUUUACCAUUUUAGAUUGUUCUUGUGAAUUUGUACCCCCUACCUAUGUGCAAUUAUUUGUUUAAUUCCUUUCAUCAUUUAAUUUCUUCUCUAAAAGCGAACUGACAUAUCUUCCUUUUUUUCUUUCCUUUAUUGCUUUAAAUUAUGAAACUGCUGUAUUUAUCGCUUUUGAAAUAUGCAAAUACAUGUCAACAUGCUUUUAGUUAUUGCAUAAUCAAGCUCAACAUUGUACUCCAGUCGUGCUAAAACAAAUACUAUAGCAACACUUAUAAUGAGUAGUUGCUCUAUUUCAAUAUUAUUACCCCUAAAUUCGGAAAGGCAUAUAUGCAUUAAAACUAGUCGAUCAGCGGUGCGGUCGAUAGUUCUGAGCCUUCCCCCUUAAGUUGUCUCCUCAAGGAUACUAGUCUAAAACCCCAUGGAAAACCAUACUCUGUUCAAAUUGUGCAUGCAUCAUGGUCAAACCUAGCCGGAUCGGUUAUGUUGUCCACUUAAUGAUCCAUUAAGAUAACCUUGUCCAAAGUCCAUUGGGGUUUCCUAAACCCUAACAGACAUCACCACGUUUUGUGCAUUUGUUUGAAGAUCUAGAUGCUUCAUGCUAAUUAUUGAUAUUAAAUAGUCGAGUCCGGUGGGGGUAAUGGCCUAACCUUAUUUGCCUUGCAGAAAUAUGAGGCACGAAGUCCCCAGAUUUGGCGUGGUCACCAACAUCCACCCAAGAUUGCUAAGUUGGUAGAAAGAUAUGCACUUUAGUGAAAAACAUCUUGUCAGAAUAUAGCUAGGAAAUGUACCAUACCUCUUGGAGAUCCAGCCUAACAAGGGGUUGAAGCUGGACAUUUAGCCAGAGCGUACUUGUUGCCGGAACAUUGCGAGUUGGGGAAGCUGUUCGACGGAGCCAAGGAUGCCGAAUCUGGGAAAGGUCCUUCUAAGACCAAGUAGAUAGGAGUUUACCUUUUUUCGCAUUAAAAAUGUAACAAGGCCAAUGGUCAUUAGAAACUUCUAUUUUUGUAUUUAUUUAAUUCGAUUUGGGAUUCGUCUUAUUUUUAUCAAUGAAUAAGGCAUUUAGCAUUUCAAGUUCUCCAAAUGAACUUGUACCUAGGCCUACCUCGGGCACAGUGACGUUCCCAAAUUAGGACAUUCUUUCAAUUCAUGCACAAUGUGUUUAAAUAUUGCAAU
RNAcentral lists this long non-coding RNA (6334 nucleotides) under Nicotiana benthamiana. RNAcentral's name for it is "long non-coding RNA (NBEN_LNC042172)". Lineage: Eukaryota; Viridiplantae; Streptophyta; Magnoliopsida; Solanales; Solanaceae. The record is from RNAcentral.